GAUGAACGCUGGCGGCGUGCCUAAUACAUGCAAGUCGAGCGAACGGACGAGAAGCUUGCUUCUCUGUUGUUAGCGGCGGACGGGUGAGUAACACGUGGAUAACCUACCUAUAAGACUGGGAUAACUUCGGGAAACCGGAGCUAAUACCGGAUAAUAUUUUGAACCGCAUGGUUCAAAAGUAAAAGACGGUCUUGCUGUCACUUAUAGAUGGAUCCGCGCUGCAUUAGCUAGUUGGUAAGGUAACGGCUUACCAAGGCAACGAUGCAUAGCCGACCUGAGAGGGUGGUCGGCCACACUGGAACUGAGACACGGUCCAGACUCCUACGGGACGCAGCAGUAGGGAAUCUUACGCAAUGGGCGGAAGCCUGACGGAGCAACGCCGCGUGAGUGAUGAAAGUCUUCGGAUCGUAAAACUCUGUUAUUAGGGAAGAACAUAUGUGUAAGUAACUGUGCACAUCUUGACGGUACCUAAUCAGAAAGCCACGGCUAACUACGUG
This 497-nucleotide ribosomal RNA is filed under the name uncultured bacterium. RNAcentral's name for it is "partial 16S ribosomal RNA". It matches the Rfam family "Bacterial small subunit ribosomal RNA", at positions 28 to 507 of the family's 1533-position model. The record is from RNAcentral.